AGAGUCUCUCAGUCUUUUGGCUAAGAUCAAGUGUAGUAUCUGUUCUUAUCAGUUUAAUAUCUGAUACUUUGUCUAUUCUUUUGAUUCUUAUUUUUUGGGGGGGAGGGUCACACCCGACAGCACUCAGGGGUUACUCCUGGCUCUACACUCAGAAAUUGCUCCUGGCAGGUUUGGAGAACCAUAU
Small nuclear RNA from Suncus etruscus (white-toothed pygmy shrew), 184 nucleotides. RefSeq annotates it as U2 spliceosomal RNA. NCBI's taxonomy places the organism in Eukaryota, Metazoa, Chordata, Mammalia, Eulipotyphla, Soricidae. The transcript has a single exon. The record is from RefSeq and is a predicted model, not a curated record.